This 84-nucleotide microRNA precursor is filed under the name Bombyx mori (domestic silkworm). Its description in RNAcentral is "mir-2807 microRNA precursor family". It matches the Rfam family "mir-2807 microRNA precursor family". Lineage: Eukaryota; Metazoa; Arthropoda; Insecta; Lepidoptera; Bombycidae. The record is from Rfam by way of RNAcentral.
UUAACCCAACUUUGUAUGCAGUUGGAACGUUUGCGUUCGUUUGCCGCUAGGGGCGCUGUGCCGAUUGCAUACAAAUUACAGUUA